GAGGGUAUAGCUCAAGUGGCAGAGCGCAUGCUUAGCACACACAAAGUCCUGGGUUCAAACCCCAGCACCUCCU
RNAcentral lists this transfer RNA (73 nucleotides) under Camelus bactrianus (Bactrian camel). It matches the Rfam family "tRNA". From Rfam's summary of the family: Transfer RNA (tRNA) molecules are approximately 80 nucleotides in length. Their secondary structure includes four short double-helical elements and three loops (D, anti-codon, and T loops). RNAcentral also lists the same sequence under 2 other names. Lineage: Eukaryota; Metazoa; Chordata; Mammalia; Artiodactyla; Camelidae. The record is from Rfam by way of RNAcentral.